GCCGAAGUGGCGGAAUUGGUAGACGCGCUAGGUUCAGGGUCUAGUGGGCGUACGUCCGUGGGAGUUCGAGUCUCCCCUUCGGCACCA
RNAcentral lists this transfer RNA (87 nucleotides) under Desulfobacteraceae bacterium. Its description in RNAcentral is "tRNA-Leu". It matches the Rfam family "tRNA". Rfam says of the family: Transfer RNA (tRNA) molecules are approximately 80 nucleotides in length. Their secondary structure includes four short double-helical elements and three loops (D, anti-codon, and T loops). The record is from RNAcentral. RNAcentral also lists the same sequence under 1 other name. Lineage: Bacteria; Pseudomonadati; Thermodesulfobacteriota; Desulfobacteria; Desulfobacterales; Desulfobacteraceae.